AUUGAACGCUGGCGGCAGGCCUAACACAUGCAAGUCGAACGAGUGGCGGACGGGUGAGUCAUGUCUGGGAAACUGCCUGAUGGAGGGGGAUAACUACUGGAAACGGUAGCUACUACCGCAUACCAUCAGAUGUGCCCCGAUUGGCUUAGCUUGUUGGUGGGGUAACGGCUCACCAAGGCGACGAUCCCUAGCUGGUCUGAGAGGAUGACCAGCCACAAGAGAAGUGAGAAACGGGCCAGAAGCCUACGGGAGGCAGCAGGGGGGAAUAUAGGACGAGGGGAGCAAGCCUGAUGCAGCCAUGCCGCGUGUAUGAAGAAGGCCUUCGGGUGGUAAAGCACUUGAAGCGGGGAGGCGUUACCAGCAGAAGAAGCACCGGCUAACACCGUGCCAGCAGCCGCGGUAAUUC
Molecule: ribosomal RNA, 406 nt
Filed under: uncultured bacterium
Lineage: Bacteria
Description: partial 16S ribosomal RNA
Rfam family: Bacterial small subunit ribosomal RNA
Source: RNAcentral